Molecule: long non-coding RNA, 1440 nt
Organism: Lolium rigidum
Lineage: Eukaryota; Viridiplantae; Streptophyta; Magnoliopsida; Poales; Poaceae
Exons: 3
Source: RefSeq, a predicted model, not a curated record
GCCAUCGUCCCCGGCGAGGACGUCAAUCCUUCUAAGGUCGUCGUCUUCUUCAUGGCCAUCCGCGUGCGGGCUGUAUCACUCCGCCUCUGGUUCGUCGGAUCUGGUUUUCUAUGCCAACAAGGUGUUUGACAAAAGUCCAAGAAAGUUAUUCACUCUUUUGAUCUGCUGACUGGGCACAGAUGAAGAGGUUCUUGGAUGAGGAAAAGGUUGCUUACUGCUAUUUUCCAUUUUCUACCCAUUUUGAUUGAGCCAAACUGACACAUGGAUUUGAGGUUAUCAUGCAAAUCAGAUGAUGCCAGGUGGGCAUUACAUGUUUAUGGUAUGAUCCAAAUCUGUGACGACGGUCUAAACUGAAUCUAUGUAUGGCUCUUUUGAUAUUUAUGUUGACCAGAGAUGAAGAAUCAAAACUGAGUUAUUUGGAUUGUAUACUGUGUCUUUGAUUUCAAUCAGAAUAGUUUAAACUGAGUUAUUUGGAUGGAGCUUUAUAGCCAUCCUAAGCAACCGAUGAAAUGAAGGUAAAGCAGAGUAACCACAAAUCUCUCCUAAUUAUGUAGUGUAUGCUCCUAUCAUAUACAUAAGGGUUUCUUGGUAAUUGGUUUAGGGAUCAUGUAUUUUUCAAAAAAAGAAAUUUCUUUUGGAUUUACUCCCUAGGCCUCUAGCUCAGGUUCUCCCUUGGUGCCAAUAUAUCGCUGUUCUGAUAUCUUUCUUCAUGCAGCUCGCUGGACUUGGUCAUGUGCAAUGUAUGAGCUUUUUGUGCAGUUUACGUUUAUGGUAAGAAGUUCCCAGCCUAGACUUUCUUUUUAGACGGAUUUAUCACUUGCUGAAUGUUGUUUAUUUCUGUAGGUUAAUAGGAGCUACACGAAAAGUAGAUCCUUACAUUUUUCCGUUGUAAAAUUAAAUUUGUGAUCAUGAAUCAGUUGUGCUUACAAGUAGUUCAAUUGCGUAUGAUUUCCUAUUGCACCGGGAUAAGGCGGAUCACGCCAGCGUUGCGUCGGUGAGUCUUGAUGAAUGUUGGUGGAAUGCAGGGAAGAAAACAUUAGCGUUCGGGUGGAUGGUGACAUGUAUUCUCAUGGAUGGUGACAUGUAUUCCGAUGGAUUCCUGCUCGGCCAAGGAUUUGCCUUCUACAUGGUGAGGUAAAAAGUGUAAUCACACUGCCUCCUGCAUCUCAACAGAUUCUACUUCCAGUGGAUUCCAAUGGCAAGCAAGCAAUAAAUCUUUCUUGGUAGUACAUUAAAUCUAUUGCAGCGGUACAUGUAUUCAGAAGCAGUACAUGCCUCUCGAGAACCAGAGCAGUGUGAACUGGCCACUUAGGGAGGAGGUUAUGGAAGCAUUAGCUUGGCAGAUUAUGUAAUGUCAUCUUAGGUUUUGACACGGAAAUCCUGCUUGAGAAACAAAAAUAACAUUUGGUUUCUCCUUGCAGAUAAGCAUCAGAUUUUUCU